Molecule: ribosomal RNA, 315 nt
Filed under: uncultured eukaryote
Lineage: Eukaryota
Description: partial 18S ribosomal RNA
Rfam family: Eukaryotic small subunit ribosomal RNA
Source: RNAcentral
CCCCUAGACGUUCUGGGCCGCACGCGCGCUACACUGACCAGUGCAACAAGCAUCCGUCCUUGGCCGACAGGCCCGGGCAAUCUUUGAACGCUGGUCGUGAUGGGGAUAGACUUUUGCAAUUUUUGGUCUUCAACGAGGAAUUCCUAGUAAACGCAAGUCAUCAACUUGCAUUGAUUACGUCCCUGCCCUUUGUACACACCGCCCGUCGCACCUACCGAUUGAAUGGUCCGGUGAAGCCUCCGGAUUGGCGCGCACCCCGGUGCCGCCGAGAAGUUGGCUAAACCUUACCAUUUAGAGGAAGGUGAAGUCGUAACA